AUUUAGAGUUUGAUUCAUGGCUCAGGGACGAAACGCUGGCGGCGUGCUUAACACAUGCAAGUCAAGGGGGCCCUUUCGGGGGCAACCGGCGAACGGGUGCGUAACACGUGAGCAACCUACCCAAGUGUGGGGGAUAGCCGGGCCAACGCCCGGGUAAUACCGCAUACGUUCCACGAGGGGAGUCCCUUGUGGAGGAAACCUCCGGGGCACUUGGAGGGGCUCGCGGCCUAUCAGCUAGUUGGAGCGGUAACGGCGCACCAAGGCGAUGACGGGUAGCUGGUCUGAGAGGAUGGCCAGCCACAUUGGGACUGCGACACGGCCCAGACUCCUACGGGAGGCAGCAGUGGGGAGUAUUGCGCAAUGGGCGAAAGCCUGACGCAGCGACGCCGCGUGGGGGAUGAAGCAUUUCGGUGUGUAAACCCCUGUUGCCCGGGACGAACAAGCCUUU
This 448-nucleotide ribosomal RNA is filed under the name uncultured bacterium. Its description in RNAcentral is "bacterial SSU rRNA". It matches the Rfam family "Bacterial small subunit ribosomal RNA", at positions 1 to 458 of the family's 1533-position model. The record is from RNAcentral.